GUCACCAUCUCUGAAGUAGAAGGGCUGACAGACAACAGAAGGGACUUCCUGCCAGGGGAGGAGCUAUGAGCAGAAGGCAGUGGGAGCCCUCUCCUUCCUUGAAGACCAGGAAGAUGUGCAUCCCUCCAACCCUGCCGUGCCUGGGCUCCACCCGGUCUCCCUUUACUCAAAGUAUUUCCUCUCAGCCAUCUCUUUGCUGACUGCUCCCUAGUCCUGGUUCUUAACCCACAGAUAUUUAAAGUGGAAAUGAGAGAACUGAAGUUCUGGAAAGGUGAGAAUCAAAUCUACAGCCCAUUCGUUCAGCAACUUCCUGUCUCCACCCUGUGAAGAGGCACAGAGGGAAUUUGCACAGAUGGUUGUGGUGGCAUGGCCCCCGAUCUGUGAAGAAUUCUGCAGAAUAGAAGGGGAGCCAAAGACUGGAGGUGAAAAUAGGAGCUUCCAAUCUUUAGGGAAGGACUUCCUUGGCGGUCCAGUGGUUAAGACUCCACGCUCCCACUGCAGGGGGCGCAGGUUCGAUCCCUGGUCGGGGAACUAAGACCCCACAUGCCUCACAGC
This is a long non-coding RNA of Mesoplodon densirostris (Blainville's beaked whale), 555 nucleotides long. RefSeq lists it as uncharacterized. The record is from RefSeq and is a predicted model, not a curated record. The transcript is spliced from 3 exons. Lineage: Eukaryota; Metazoa; Chordata; Mammalia; Artiodactyla; Ziphiidae.